RNAcentral lists this ribosomal RNA (305 nucleotides) under uncultured bacterium. Its description in RNAcentral is "bacterial SSU rRNA". It matches the Rfam family "Bacterial small subunit ribosomal RNA", at positions 335 to 657 of the family's 1533-position model. The record is from RNAcentral.
UCCCUACGGGGGGCAGCAGUGGGGAAUAUUGCACAAUGGGGGAAACCCUGAUGCAGCGACGCCGCGUGAGUGAAGAAGUAUUUCGGUAUGUAAAGCUCUAUCAGCGGGGAAGAAGGAAGACGGUACCCGACUAAGAAGCCCCGGCUAACUACGUGCCAGCAGCCGCGGUAAUACGUAGGGGGCGAGCGUUAUCCGGAUUUACUGGGUGUAAAGGGAGCGUAGACGGCGUCGCAAGUCUGAAGUGAAAGCCCGUGGCUCAACCGCGGAACCGCUUUGGAAACUGUGAGGCUGGAGUGCUGGAGAGG